RNAcentral lists this long non-coding RNA (7737 nucleotides) under Arabidopsis lyrata. RNAcentral describes it as "long non-coding RNA (ALYR_LNC001059)". The record is from RNAcentral. Lineage: Eukaryota; Viridiplantae; Streptophyta; Magnoliopsida; Brassicales; Brassicaceae.
UCCUGUUUCCGUACAUCGGACGGAUCAACGUCGUAAAAAAUGGUCAUCACAAUCUGCCCUUGAGACUGCUUCUUCGCACUUCAAGAUUUCAACCAAUUCAUCUAAACACCAGCUGGAAGAAGCGUACCUUCUUCGAGAGCACCACAAUCGAGACUCUAGAUUCUCUAAUCGCUUGUACGAGCUCAGGUCCAAUCGUGUGGCCUCUCUUGAUCUCCUGAUCAUUGAAAGUUGUGAUUCCUUUUGCUUGCGAAAUGACAGUGUAAAUGACUGAGAAACCCUCUACGGAAAUCUGGACCGUGAAAGCUCGAAAAGACAUGGAAUCUCUUCAUACGAGACGAAGAAAAAGAAGCCAUGAAACAGAUUGGUAAAUUUUGAGAUUGAAGAAGAAGGUACCACAAUGGUUUUGGAUAAGCAAUCUAUGGAGUAGAAAACAAGUCUCUCGCUUAUAUAAUUGAAGAAAACGCGUAACGAGAGGAUUGAAAUUUCAAAGGGAUUUGUCUCUCUGUAGAGAAAAAUACAAAAAAUGUUUCCCUCAAAGUCGUCGAUGACCCAUAAGAGUGUUUCCUCAUGGUCUUGAGAACCUCAUAAGGUUUUGAAUUUUUGGCAAUCGGAAUUUUAUUUCGUAGAGAUGAGCUCAGAGCUGAAGCAUGAGACUCGGUGAGAAGAUGAUCGGAGGAAGAAGAAAGAACCAGACAUGAUUCAAAAUUAGGGAUCUUAAAACUCUCGAUAUCCAAUUGUAAAUUUGGUUUGAAAAACUAAACCGGCCUUUUCAAUUCGAUCAAAAUUGGUUUUCUGGUUAGGUUUUCUGGUUAGAAACAAAAAAAGAAAUUAGAGAUUUUCUUAGCAACCAAGAAGAACACAAAAACAGGGGAAAAACACAACUCCGUUUUUUCUUCUUCUUCUUCUGAUCCUCAGUUGCUUUCAAAUUCUCUUUUGAAUCUGUUGUAUUGAUCGGUGAGAGACACUCUACAUAACCAAUUUUUCAACGGUUGAUUUUGUCUUCAUCAAUUUUUUCAAUUUGAGAUUGUUUAUUUGGAUGAUCAGGUCGGAGAUUUACUCUGUUUUGGUUUUUGUAUGAUAGGCUUUUGUAUGCUCGAUUGAUCGAUCCUUAAAUCAUAAAGGAUCUUCAUUUCAGGUUUGGCCUCAAAACCCUAUGUUGCUUCUUCUUGAUCUAUAUAUAUCUUAAUGUUCUAUGGUCUCAGCUUCUGUUCUUUGCUACUACGUCUACACUCAGUUUCUUAGUAAAAGAGAAGUUAUCACAGAGUUACAAUGGUUCUGAAUAAGCCAUCUAUUGAAUACAACAGUAGUUUCUUACUUACCUGGAAAGAAAAUAUACACAAGACAAUAACUAACCCUAAUGCAAUGGUGCUGCUUGCAUUCAAUAGUCUUGUUCUCAUUGUCCCAGUAAGUGAACUCGAACAGAACCUUGCUCAUGGUCACAUCCACUUCGUUAAAUAUUUAUGCUUUGUUGAUGAUACAAGUCACCACCAAAUUAUAAAAACAGAUGUUCUGAUAGAGAACGAGUUGACACAUCUGAUUAAAGACAUGCGGGAUUACUCUUCUUGAUUCGUCUAGUUUCACACAGUUGCAGGAAUAACAAUAGAAUCUCUUCAAUGAUUCACACUUUGCUUACAUUUUCGACACUCAACGGACUCCAAAAGAUCGAUAUGUGACACAGAGUUUUCUGCAUUUGUGGAUGCUACGUUCUUUUUAAGACUUUUCGUUGCUGCUACUCUGAGUUUUAUCCAUCAAAUCCAUGCACUGCACUCAAUGAUCUGACAUAUUUACUGCUUGUGACAUUUUCAUCUUUAGAGAUCCGAGCGGCUCCAUCCUCAAUCGCAUUUGAUUCUUCUGUGUUUCUGGGACAACUUAGUGUGAAAAAUAAAGUGAUGUUUCACGGUGGAGCUUUUUGUCUUCUUUUUCUUAGACCAACAACCUGUGUGUUUAGCGUUAUCCACAUUCUCAACAUUUUGGUAGCCAAUGUUGCCUACGGCUUCAGGUUCACAGUCCAAAUAUUCAUCAUAUCCUUCUUUCAAGAUCUGUAUACCACACUCAAUAAUCUUGUUGUUAUCUGAGCAAGUGAAUUCGAACAGAAUCUCGCUUUGUGAGUGUACUCCACAGAGAGUUCUUUUCCGGGUAAGCAGACAUAUUUGGCUUUCAAAUGGUGUAUGAUUUCUCUUCAAAGGCUCGCCUACUAAAUUAAACCAACUACUACUUGGUCUUGGACAUAUCAAAAUUCAGUAAGAUAUAUGUAAAAACUUACUGUUCCGUUUCCUAGUACAUUGAGAAUGUCUUCAGUUUCUAUUAAGAAAAUGGUGUUUAUUGGCAUUUCCAUAUUUCGUAAAGAUUUGCUGUUUAUUGUUGGUUUGGUUGGUUGCUGCUACUAUUAGUUUAAAACGGAUCAAAUUCGGGUUUAUUGGCAUUUCCAUAUUUCGGGUUUCCAAAUUGGUUGGUUGGAGUUAUCCGAGAUACGGAGAUGCCAAUAAACGUCAAUUUUUAAUGGAGUAGAGAUAGUGAUGCCAAAUUGGGUGCAUCACCAUCUCUUGAUGCGAGCAAGACGAAGAAGGAGAAGAAGCCAUGAAAGAUAUGGUAAGCUUUGAUAUGGACGAUGAAGGUAUCACAACUGUUUUGGAUAAGCUAUCUACGGAACUGAUAUUUCAAAGGACUUUGUCCUCCUUGUAUAGAAAAAUACAAAAACAAAAUGUUUCCCCCAAAGUCGGUGAGGACCCCAUCCAUCCAUAAGGUUUGAUUUCGUUAAGAUUUGCUGUUUAUUAUUGGUUUGGUUUGGUUGCUGCUACUAUUAGUUUCAUAGUAAAAGAGAUGUUGAAAAAGUUAUCACAGAGUUUGCAAUUGUUCUGAAUAAGCCUAUGUAGCAGAACAAUGAAAGCAACUCUCUGUGAAGAAUUAAGAAAAUUGGAGCUAGGGGAUCAGAUAUUCCAGUCUCUCUACAGAUUUGGUCAUUUGGAUAAUCAGAAAUGUACACAAUUAUGUUUGCUCAUCAGUCAAAGCUUUGCUUCAUGUCCUUCACAAGUUUUCUCGAAUGCGUUGACAAGAUAACAAAACUUCUCUUAGUACUUAAACAGCUAACUAACUAGAUCACAAAAUAACAAGACUUUUCUUAGUACUUAAACAGCUAAUUAAGAAAUAAAUACAAGGCUUUGUCUAUUAAACCAAAACGGUAUAACUCAUACUGUCGUACAGAACCUAGUGUAGCGACAAUAUUGGGAUAUGCUUUGUCUACUACUAAUCACACUCACAAAGGUUUUGCAAAACAAAACAGAUUUUUGCUCAUGGAUUCUGUAAAUCCCAAUUAAUCUCCUACUAAUUUCUCUACUCUAAGAGUAUUAGCGUGUUACCAUAUCCACAAUAACAAAGCUUAAAGACAAGAGGUCUAUACUUAACAGAUUUGCCAAGAGGUAUCACUCAUUCACUCAUUAAAGAAAAAGAGGUGUAACUCAUUCAGUCAUAUACUAAGCUUAUAGACAAGAGGUGUGACUCAUUCAAAUUCACAAACUCACAAAGGUUUUGCAAGACAAACAGAUUUUUUUGUAAAUCCCAAUUAAUCUCCAUACCUCCUUAUACACAUUCGUUUGCAUUUAAGGACUUGAGCUACAGGGGAAGAGCCGGCACUGUCACGAGUUUCGGGUUACUUGAUUAGAUGUUUUCAAUUUCAGAGAACUUGAAACCUUCUGCGUCAUAGUCUCCAUCUCCAUCUCCAACUUCAUAUCCAUCUGUGAGGUGAUUAUCGUCACCUCCAGUUUCCUAAUAAUCCACUUUGCUGCUGCUACUCUCAGUUUCACAGAUGUCCCCUUUGUCAGAACUCCACUCUGUCGUAUUCAUCUUCUUCUCUUUUAGACCAAAAAAAUUCUGAAGCCAACUCCUAAAACCUAUUUGUUUACUGGUUUUGAUGUUUUCAUCUCCAUUUCCAUCUUCGCUGCUGCUACUCUCAGUUUCAUGGCUGUCCACUUCGCUGCUGCUACUCUCAGUUUCAUAGUUGUCCAACUCCCUGAUGCUGCUACCCUCAGCUUCCUCUGUCAUGAUCUGUACACCACACUCACUAAUCUUGGCAUUGCCGACAUUGAAGCUGAACUCAAAUAUAAUCUCGCUCAUGGUCACAUCCACUUCAUGGCAUUUGUUUCCUUGGGGAAACAAAUCGCCAUGAAAUAUAAACAGAUGUUUUGACCGAAAAGACAAAGACAGAUAUUCAAACUCGUAGCUAUGAACUGUAACACCUCCUUUGCUUCUGAUACUACAACUUAUAGUUCUUAAUCCGGCGUACUCAACUGGCAAAAUGAGAAUGGAAGCCUUAAACCUUGAGGAAGCAGAGAGAGUACCCGGAGCCAGAGGGAUGGUUAUGGAUCUCCCUGUUGCUUUGUGAGUGAAAUCUGCAGGGAUGUUUUUACCUGGUAACCAUUUAUACAUGCCAACUGAUUGUUGUAUGAUUCCUCUUCUUGAUUCUUUAUCCAGUUUCAAACAGUUGCUGCCACUCUCAGUUUCAUGGCUGUCCACUUCGCUGCUACUACUCUCAGUUUCAUGGCUGUCCAAUUCCCUGAUGUUGCUACCCUCAACUUCCUCUCUCAUGAUCUGUACACCACACUCAAUAAUCUUGUCAUCGCCGAAAUCGCAGCUGAACUCAAAUAUAAUCUCGCUCAUGGUCACAUCGGCUUCAUGGCAUUUGUUUCCUUGGGGAAACAAAUCAUCAUGAAAUAUAAACAGAUGUUCUGACCGAAAAGACAAAGACAGAUGUGGACACUCGCAUCUAUGAACUGUAACACCUCCUUUGCUUCUUAUACUACAGCUUAUACGUUUAUAUCCGUAGUCUUUAACUGGGGAAAUGAGAAGGCAAGCCUUAAACCUUGAGGAAGCAGAGAGAGUACCCGGAGCCAGAGGGAUGGUUAUGGAUCUCCCUGUUGCUUUGUGAGUGAACUCUGCAGGGAUUUUUUUACCUGGUAAGCAUACACAAUCGUAAAUUGAUUUUUGUAUGAUUCCUCUUCUCGAUUCUUUAUCCAGUUUAAAACAGUUUCUGAAACUGAGUCUCUCGGUUGGGUUAUGGAAAGAGAAGCAUACUCUCUCGAGUGAUACACAAUCGUCUGCUCUUAGGUCACGGAGGGAGGGGGGAAGACCCGGAAUUGACUCGAGUUUUGUGCACCUUUUGACAGAAAGCCAUUCUAGACGAGUGAGACAUAUGACGCAAUCUGGAAUCGUCUCUAUAUCACUGCCAUUAAGAAUUAGGUCAGUUAUAAAGAGUGGUACAUGUGUCAAUCUCUUGAGGCUGCUGCUGCAAAUGUUGAGGCGAUCAAGACGAGACAAACAUCCAGCAACUGAUGGAGGGACAUCUUCUAUAUCUGUAUCUCCGAGAUUGAGAACCUUGAUGUUACUGGAGAUUUCUGGAAAAGUUCUCAACCGUGAGCAACCAUUCAUGGUGAGUAUCUUAAGAGAUGCUAAGUUGAUGUUGCUGGGAAUAACUUGUAGCAUACAGCAAAAACCAACAUCUAGAAUCUUUAGUUUUUGUAGAUUCUUAAUAGAAGAUGGAAGCUCCACCAAACGAUUGCAGCCCUUAAGUGUCAAUUUCUCGAGAUUAGUAGAUUUUGAAAGAUUUGGGAUUUCUUUCAAUUGACGGGAACACAUCAGAUCUAUGAUCUUGAGAUUAGGAAGGGACUGCAUGUUAAAUGAGAAAUAUUUCUUAUUUAAAUUGAAUCAUUAGAAGCACUAGAAAGAAUAUCGAAUACCAAACCUGGAUUCCUCCCCAGAGCUUCUUAAUUUUGCUGUAUGGCAUAUGGAGUUCCAUGAGACGUUCCGGCUGAAACCUCCGAGGAAGACUUGUUCUUGGGUAAAAUUCCCAAUGUAGUAACCUAAGAAGAGGUAAAUAAUCCAAAUCUUCUGGUAUUUGCAAAGUACCUUCGCCGCCAAACCAACGCCUAAAGAUUCUUAGGAAUCGGAGAUUACGCAUUCCUUCAAAAGCCCCUUUACCUACAGAAACCUCUCCGAUAUUGGAUGUAUCAAAUGAUAUACCUAUGACUGAUCCAGUACCCUACAAAAUAACAUUGCCAAUGACUGAUGAAAUUGUUAUCACUAAAAAUAGGCAAUAUACAUGUAAGAACUUAAACUUACUGUUUCGGUUGUCAGUACAUCACAAAUCUCAUCGGCCUCAGUUAAAAAUUGACGUUUCCCGGGCUCGUCAGACUGUUCAUGAACUAUCUGUCUACCCAAUUGUUGUAGUAGAUGGUGCAUCACUAUAUGGUCAUAGGUAGAUUUAUGCACGAGAGAUUUAUCGGCUAGGGUCUCUAACCCAUUCCUAACAUCCAAGUUACUAUCAGAAAGCACAGAUAUCACAUUAUCAACGACUUCAUUGUUGAAGACGCAUGCAAUGUGAAGGAAUAGAGAUUGAUUUUUCUUCGACAAUCUGUCAUAUCCCACUUUCAAAAUGUCUUCAACUUUUCCAUCAAGACUUCCAUCAAUUCUAGAUAAUUGAAGUUCCCACACGUGCUUGCUCUGCCCACGCAAAGAUGAACCCACGACACAAAGGCCUAAUGGAAGCUUACCGCAAAGCUUUGCUACUUUAUUGGCAAGCUCUUCAAAACCAUCUGGUACAGAGCUUUGUUUGAAAGCAGAGAGACAUAAGAUCUCAAGAGCUUCUUCCAUGGACGGAAAAUCCACAUGGUAGAUAUCGUUGAUCCCAUGUGCCUCCAAAAUCUUCUUAUCUUCUGUGGUAACGAUGAUCCGGCUUCCAGAACCAAACCAAGAAGGUUCUUUAGCCAAUACCUCUAAUUGCUCUAGAUCAUCUACAUCAUCAAGAAUGAUGAGCACUCUUUGAUAUUGUAGCCAUUCUUUGAUUGCACCUAAAUGACGUAUUUUCAUAUUCUCUUGGUUCAAAAUCUUAGACAGAAGUUGGUUUUGCAACCACAACUUGGAAUCAUGGUCAUCAACACCCAUUCUGCUCUUAAGACUACCCUUGAGGUUCCCCAUAAAACAUUUAAGUUGAAAAUUGCUAGAGAGUUGGUUGUCUAAAGCUCUAGCAAUGGUGGACUUACCAAUCCCUGCAGGACCCCAAAUCCCAAUCAUCUUGACUUCAUCACUUUCCAAGCAUAACAAAGAGUUCAAUUUUGCCAAGUGAGCUUCAUGUCCCACCAUCCCGUCAAAAUCCUUCGACGGUGUAAGAUUAAGUUUGUUUGAAACAUCGGUAGCAAUCUUUUUAAUCAUAUCUGCUUCAUUAGCCCUAACAAAAGCAAAACAAAAUCAUGUUGGUGGGUCGAAAUUACAAAAAUUUGAAGCACUAAUUCAUUCAGAGACAAAAAAAAAAAGAAAAAAAAAAAAAAGAAGAAGAUAAAAACAAGAUACCAAUUAAGAGAAUGUUCUCCUUCUAUGUUUGCAGCAUGAGUCAAAGCAUUGCUCCAACUCUGCUUCGUCUCCUCACUUUUCCCUUCACAAGUCUUCAUGAAUGCGGUUCCGAAAUCUCCCUUCUGUUUCCGUACACUCGACGGAUCAACGUCAUAGAAGAUGGUCAUCACGAUCUGCCCCUGAUCUUCUUUGCACUUGAAGAUUUCCACAAGUUCAUCUAAACACCAGCUCGAAGAAGCGUACUUCUUCGAGAGCAGCACGAUCGAGACUCGAGAUUCUCUAAUCGCUUGUACGAGCUCAGGUUUAAUCGUGUGGCCUCUCUCGAUCUCCUGAUCUUUAAACGUCGUGAUCCCUUUGCUUGCGAAGUGAUCGUGUAAAUGACUGAGAAACCCUCUACGA